AACGAACGCUGGCGGCAGGCCUAACACAUGCAAGUCGAACGAGCAUUUCGGUCCUAUCGGCGGACGGGUGGGUACCGCGUGGGAACGUGCCCUUUUCUGCGGAAUCGUUCUCUGAAACUGGGGUUAAUACCGCUUACGCCCUUUUGGGGAAAGAUUUAUCGGUGCAGGAUCGGCCCUCGUUGGAUUCGGUAGUUGGUGGGGUAAUGGCCGACCAUGCCGACGUUCCAUGGCUGGUUGGUGAGGAGGAUAAUCCGCACUUGACCUGAGACACGGCCCAGACUCCGACGGGAGGCAGCAGUGGGGAAUCUGAGACAAGGGGGGCAACCCUGAUAUAGCCACGCCGGGGGAGUGAUGAAGGCCUUAGGGUUGUAAAGCCGUUUCAGCUGGGAAGAUAAUGACGGUACCAGCAGAAGAAGCCCCGGCUAACUACGUG
This 433-nucleotide ribosomal RNA is filed under the name uncultured bacterium. RNAcentral describes it as "partial 16S ribosomal RNA". It matches the Rfam family "Bacterial small subunit ribosomal RNA", at positions 29 to 507 of the family's 1533-position model. The record is from RNAcentral.